This 1407-nucleotide ribosomal RNA is filed under the name metagenome. Its description in RNAcentral is "bacterial LSU rRNA". It matches the Rfam family "Bacterial large subunit ribosomal RNA", at positions 1517 to 2925 of the family's 2925-position model. The record is from RNAcentral.
UUGUGAGGCUGAUGUGUAGGCAAAUCCGCACAUCGUUAAGGCUGGGCGGUGAUGGGGAGCGAAAAUUGCAGUAGCGAAGGUCAUGAGUUCAGGCUGCCAAGAAAAGCCUCUAGCCAGGUGAAGGUGCCCGUACCGCAAACCGACACAGGUAGGCGAGCAGAGUAUGCUAAGGCGCUCGGAAGAACUCUCGUUAAGGAACUCGGCAAAAUGACCCCGUAACUUCGGGAGAAGGGGUGCCUCGGUAGGGUGAAUAGCCCGAGGGGGCCGCAGUGAAAAGGCCCAAGCGACUGUUUAGCAAAAACACAGGUCUGUGCGAAGCCGUAAGGCGAAGUAUACGGGCUGACGCCUGCCCGGUGCUGGAAGGUUAAGGGGAGUGGUUAGCCGCAAGGCGAAGCUAUGAACCGAAGCCCCAGUAAACGGCGGCCGUAACUAUAACGGUCCUAAGGUAGCGAAAUUCCUUGUCAGGUAAAUUCUGACCCGCACGAAUGGCGUAACGACUUGGGCGCUGUCUCAACGAGAGAUCCGGUGAAAUUUUAAUACCUGUGAAGAUGCAGGUUACCCGCGACAAGACGGAAAGACCCCAUGGAGCUUUACUGCAGCUUGAUAUUGGACUUUGGUACGAUCUGUACAGGAUAGGUGGGAGCCUUGGAAGCCGGAGCGCCAGCUUCGGCGGAGGCAUCGUUGGGAUACCACCCUGAUCGUAUCGGAGUUCUAACCUGGUACCGUGAUCCGGUACAGGGACCGUGUCAGGUGGGCAGUUUGACUGGGGCGGUCGCCUCCUAAAAUGUAACGGAGGCGCCCAAAGGUUCCCUCAGAAUGGUUGGAAAUCAUUCGUAGCGUGCAAAGGCAUAAGGGAGCUUGACUGCGAGACCUACAAGUCGAGCAGGGACGAAAGUCGGGCUUAGUGAUCCGGUGGUACCGCAUGGAAGGGCCAUCGCUCAACGGAUAAAAGCUACCCUGGGGAUAACAGGCUUAUCUCCCCCACGAGUCCACAUCGACGGGGAGGUUUGGCACCUCGAUGUCGGCUCAUCGCAUCCUGGGGCUGAAGUAGGUCCCAAGGGUUGGGCUGUUCGCCCAUUAAAGCGGUACGCGAGCUGGGUUCAGAACGUCGUGAGACAGUUCGGUCCCUAUCUGUCGUGGGCGUAGGAAAUUUGAGAGGAGCUGUCCUUAGUACGAGAGGACCGGGAUGGACGCACCGCUGGUGUACCAGUUGUUCCGCCAGGAGCAUAGCUGGGUAGCUACGUGCGGACGGGAUAAGCGCUGAAAGCAUCUAAGCGUGAAGCCCCCCUCAAGAUGAGAUUUCCCAGUAUGUAAGACCCCUGGAAGACGACCAGGUUGAUAGGUUCGAGGUGGAAGCGCAGCAAUGCGUGGAGCUGACGAAUACUAAUCGGUCGAGGGCUUAUCCGA